GUAUCAGAAGUGCGAAUGCUGACAUAAGUAACGAUAAAGCGGGUGAAAAGCCCGCUCGCCGGAAGACCAAGGGUUCCUGUCCAACGUUAAUCGGGGCAGGGUGAGUCGACCCCUAAGGCGAGGCCGAAAGGCGUAGUCGAUGGGAAACAGGUUAAUAUUCCUGUACUUGGUGUUACUGCGAAGGGGGGACGGAGAAGGCUAUGUUGGCCGGGCGACGGUUGUCCCGGUUUAAGCGUGUAGGCUGGUUUUCCAGGCAAAUCCGGAAAAUCAAGGCUGAGGCGUGAUGACGAGGCACUACGGUGCUGAAGCAACAAAUGCCCUGCUUCCAGGAAAAGCCUCUAAGCAUCAGGUAACAUCAAAUCGUACCCCAAACCGACACAGGUGGUCAGGUAGAGAAUACCAAGGCGCUUGAGAGAACUCGGGUGAAGGAACUAGGCAAAAUGGUGCCGUAACUUCGGGAGAAGGCACGCUGAUAUGUAGGUGAAGUCCCUCGCGGAUGGAGCUGAAAUCAGUCGAAGAUACCAGCUGGCUGCAACUGUUUAUUAAAAACACAGCACUGUGCAAACACGAAAGUGGACGUAUACGGUGUGACGCCUGCCCGGUGCCGGAAGGUUAAUUGAUGGGGUCAGCGCAAGCGAAGCUCUUGAUCGAAGCCCCGGUAAACGGCGGCCGUAACUAUAACGGUCCUAAGGUAGCGAAAUUCCUUGUCGGGUAAGUUCCGACCUGCACGAAUGGCGUAAUGAUGGCCAGGCUGUCUCCACCCGAGACUCAGUGAAAUUGAACUCGCUGUGAAGAUGCAGUGUACCCGCGGCAAGACGGAAAGACCCCGUGAACCUUUACUAUAGCUUGACACUGAACAUUGAGCCUUGAUGUGUAGGAUAGGUGGGAGGCUUUGAAGUGUGGACGCCAGUCUGCAUGGAGCCGGCCUUGAAAUACCACCCUUUAAUGUUUGAUGUUCUAACGUUGACCCGUUAUCCGGGUUGCGGACAGUGUCUGGUGGGUAGUUUGACUGGGGCGGUCUCCUCCUAAAGAGUAACGGAGGAGCACGAAGGUUGGCUAAUCCUGGUCGGACAUCAGGAGGUUAGUGCAAUGGCAUAAGCCAGCUUGACUGCGAGCGUGACGGCGCGAGCAGGUGCGAAAGCAGGUCAUAGUGAUCCGGUGGUUCUG
This 1167-nucleotide ribosomal RNA is filed under the name Escherichia coli. RNAcentral's name for it is "partial 23S ribosomal RNA". It matches the Rfam family "Bacterial large subunit ribosomal RNA", at positions 1279 to 2431 of the family's 2925-position model. The record is from RNAcentral. Lineage: Bacteria; Pseudomonadati; Pseudomonadota; Gammaproteobacteria; Enterobacterales; Enterobacteriaceae.